Molecule: ribosomal RNA, 298 nt
Filed under: uncultured microorganism
Description: partial 16S ribosomal RNA
Rfam family: Bacterial small subunit ribosomal RNA
Source: RNAcentral
GUGCAAGCAGGCCGCGGGUAAUACGGAGGGGUGCAAGCGGUUAAUCCGGAAUUACCUGGSCGUAAAGCGCGCGUAGGUGGCUUGAUAAGCCGGUUGUGAAAGCCCCGGGCUCAACCUGGGAACGGCAUCCGGAACUGUCAAGCUAGAGUGCAGGAGAGGAAGGUAGAAUUCCCGGUGUAGCGGUGAAAUGCGUAGAGAUCGGGAGGAAUACCAGUGGCGAAGGCGGCCUUCUGGACUGACACUGACACUGAGGUGCGAAAGCGUGGGUAGCAAACAGGAUUAGAUACCCUGGUAGUCC